CGCACAUUGCGCCCCUUGGUAUUCCGAGGGGCAUACCUGUUCGAGCGUCAUUACAACCCUCAAGCUUUGCUUGGUAUUGAGCGUUUCGCUCUCCCGUCGCAGGGAGUAGCGUGCUUAAAAGUCAGUGGCGGGUCCUCGUAGACUUCAAGCGCAGUAAAAUCGUCGCUUCAGAAGCUUUCUGCCUAGGGAUUAGCUAUCGAAACCCUAAAACUUCAAUGAUUGACCUCGGAUCAGGUAGGGAUACCCGCUGAACUUAA
Molecule: unclassified non-coding RNA, 257 nt
Filed under: Teloschistes exilis
Lineage: Eukaryota; Fungi; Ascomycota; Lecanoromycetes; Teloschistales; Teloschistaceae
Description: partial contains 5.8S ribosomal RNA, internal transcribed spacer 2, and large subunit ribosomal RNA
Source: RNAcentral